UACGAAGGGGGCUAGCGUUGCUCGGAAUCACUGGGCGUAAAGCGCACGUAGGCGGCUUCUUAGGUCAGGGGUGAAAUCCUGGAGCUCAACUCCAGAACUGCCUUUGAUACUGAGGAGCUUGAGUCCGGGAGAGGUGAGUGGAACUGCGAGUGUAGAGGUGAAAUUCGUAGAUAUUCGCAAGAACACCAGUGGCGAAGGCGGCUCACUGGCCCGGUACUGACGCUGAGGUGCGAAAGCGUGGGGAGCAAACAGG
Molecule: ribosomal RNA, 253 nt
Filed under: uncultured bacterium
Lineage: Bacteria
Description: partial 16S ribosomal RNA
Rfam family: Bacterial small subunit ribosomal RNA
Source: RNAcentral